RNAcentral lists this long non-coding RNA (228 nucleotides) under Capsicum annuum. RNAcentral describes it as "long non-coding RNA (CANN_LNC003305)". The record is from RNAcentral. Lineage: Eukaryota; Viridiplantae; Streptophyta; Magnoliopsida; Solanales; Solanaceae.
UAAGUGUCAAGACCUUUCCUGAAGUUAUUUUCAAGCAUAUUUUUCCUAUUUCUUCUACCUUAGCAGUAGCGGAGUUAUCCAUAUAGAUUAUUUCUUUUACUUGAGCCAGAGCGAAUGACAAAAACAACUUUUUGUUGGCACAUACAUGGUGGGUGGCACCAAAAUCUAUCCACCAUUCGCGAGGAUUCCCCGCCAAGUUACAUUCGGAGAACAUAUCACACAUAUCAU